This 332-nucleotide ribosomal RNA is filed under the name uncultured Coriobacteriales bacterium. RNAcentral describes it as "bacterial SSU rRNA". It matches the Rfam family "Bacterial small subunit ribosomal RNA", at positions 28 to 339 of the family's 1533-position model. The record is from RNAcentral. Lineage: Bacteria; Bacillati; Actinomycetota; Coriobacteriia; Coriobacteriales.
GACGAACGCUGGCGGCGUGCUUAACACAUGCAAGUCGAACGGGGAUUAUUUGGAUGAGAGCUUCGGCAGGAUUCCGGAUAAUUCGAGUGGCGGACGGGUGAGUAACGCGUGAGCAACCUGUCCCAGACAGGGGGAUAACACUUGGAAACAGGUGCUAAUACCGCAUGAGACCACGGCAUCACAUGGUGCAGGGGUAAAAGGUGCAAACCGGUUUGGGGUGGGCUCGCGUCCGAUUAGAUAGUUGGUGAGGUAACGGCCCACCAAGUCGACGAUCGGUAGCCGAUCUGAGAGGAUGACCGGCCACAUUGGAACUGAGAGACGGUCCAAACUCC